AACGAACGCUGGCGGCAUGCCUAACAUAUGCAAGUCGAACGAAGGCUUCGGCCUUAGUGGCGCACGGGUGCGUAACGCGUGGGAAUCUGCCCUUAGGUUCGGAAUAACAGCUGGAAACGGCUGCUAAUACCGGAUGAUAUCGCGAGAUCAAAGAUUUAUCGCCUGAGGAUGAGCCCGCGUUGGAUUAGGUAGUUGGUGGGGUAAAGGCCUACCAAGCCGACGAUCCAUAGCUGGUCUGAGAGGAUGAUCAGCCACACUGGGACUGAGACACGGCCCAGACUCCUACGGGAGGCAGCAGUGGGGAAUAUUGGACAAUGGGCGAAAGCCUGAUCCAGCAAUGCCGCGUGAGUGAUGAAGGCCCUAGGGUUGUAAGGCUCUUUUACCCGGGAAGAUAAUGACUGUACCGGGAGAAUAAGCCCCGGCUAACUCCGUGCCAGCAGCCGCCGUAA
RNAcentral lists this ribosomal RNA (449 nucleotides) under uncultured bacterium. RNAcentral describes it as "partial 16S ribosomal RNA". It matches the Rfam family "Bacterial small subunit ribosomal RNA", at positions 29 to 523 of the family's 1533-position model. The record is from RNAcentral.